Molecule: long non-coding RNA, 877 nt
Filed under: Homo sapiens (human)
Lineage: Eukaryota; Metazoa; Chordata; Mammalia; Primates; Hominidae
Description: HSALNT0140894
Source: RNAcentral
CGUGAGCCGGGGCGGGAGCAGAGCGGGUGUGACGGGGCGCCCGCCCUGCGCGGGGCGCGGCGCGGUGGUGCUGAACGGACAGCUCCGCGUGCCUCGGCCGCCGCCCGGGCUCGGAAGGCGCAGCCGCCGCCGCCGCUGCUUCUCUGCGCUUCCCCGGCGCGUCACCGCGACCACCUUGCGCCCCCGGCUCGGCGCGGGGCCGACACCUCUCCCUUCCCCCCGACCAUCCCCCGGUGACAGCUGUUAUUAUCACCACCCCCAGGGCGCAGGCAGGGGGCUGCCUACGGUGACCUUUCCCCGCUGGGUCUGGCGGGAGCUGGGCUGGGAAAUAAAGGGCGGCUUGCGCGUGUCCGGGGACAGGGCGGGACCGGAGGAACUCCAGGUGUCCCCUUUUAGGGACCUGAAGAAAAGUUUCCCGAAGCCCGGGGGUGGGGUUGUUGGGGAACAGGAGCUGGAGGGGAAAAGAGGGGGCCGGGAAGUCCAAGGUGGAGAUCGGCUUAGUACGCGGGGGGCGGGAGCGCAGGCCGCACGGCGGGGGCGGGAGUCGCUGAGUUCUGGUCGGGAGCUCUGUGUGGGCACAGUUUGUGUCCAGGCCGGUGUGGUGUGCUGGCUGUGCGGGACUGCAGGGCGCUGUGUGUGUAUGUAGGCUGAGGACAGCAGGACUUUUCAGUGUCUGUGUGUACCGCGUUCAUUAAAAUGGGUCCUCUGUCGGAUGGGAAGAUGCGUCGGCACAGGGGGGACCUGGGACGUGUGUCAGCGCAGUGUGUGGCAUGGGGAACCGUGUGCUGUGUGUACAUGUGCUGUGUACAGUGUAGUACUCUUGGGACUGUGACGGGCUCAUGUGUGUGGAAUAUGUUGAGAGCGGUGUGCUUGCCGA